CAAAUCACCUGUGUGUGUACGAACACUCCUUGCCCCACACUCGGCUGGCCACGGGUGAUGUGGAAGGGGAGUGACGCACACAUCAGCUGCUUGAGCGCCUAGCUCGCGGUCCGCUUUGCCAGCCGCUUGAGCCUCGAGCUCGUGGUCUGGUCCUUAGCCGCUCGAGCCUAGAGCUUGCAGUCCUUAGCCGCCCAGCGGCUCUGCCCGACUAGGCCUCUGACCCGCUAGCGGGCUCGGUUGGCCAGCGGAUAUUUUUACUUUUUCCAUAAAUAUAUUUUUUUUCAUUUCUCUCAACAAAAUAAAAUUAUAAAAUCAUAUAAUUAAGCAAAAAUUCAUAUUAAUCAACUAGAAACUACUUCUCACGAUUUAACACAAAAAUAAGUAUAUUUAUCAUGAGUUAAGACUAAAAACAUCAUUGUUGGAAUUAAUCGUAUCUGAUAUGCUCUCAAGAGGUGGCAACUUGUCUUCUGGCAGAUCGUCCUUCAUGAUAAUGAAGGCUUUGCAUCUUUCUUAUUAAGCAAAUAUUUUAAUACUGCAUGGUCAGUAUAAAUGAUGAUUUUAGGUCCUAAAAUAUAUGAUCUAAAUCUUUCUAAUGAAAAUACUACNNNNNNNNNNNNNNNNNNNNNNNNNNNNNNNNNNNNNNNNNNNNNNNNNNNNNNNNNNNNNNNNNNNNNNNNNNNNNNNNNNNNNNNNNNNNNNNNNNNNCUCUCUCUCUCUCUCUCUCUCUCUCUCUUCCCAUGGGUACUUCUAUAUUGCAUGUAUGUGUGAGUGGGGGAAUGUACUACGACUAAGAACAAUGACGAAGCCAUAUGAGACCCGCAAGGAAGAUAAGAAGUCAACCGACCCAGUCUUCUAUCCUACGAAAGAAGGCCAUAGUUUAUCAACUAUUAAAAGCCAAGUUUCUCAUUCUUCGAUAAAAACCCAUUUCAUGUCACAGAUAGAGAGAGAGAGAGAGAGAGAGAGAGAGAGAGAGAGAUUCUCCAUGUCUGAUUAAGCUUUAAUGGCCCACGGUGACAGACAGAGAAACAUGCCUGGUUUCCUGAAGGUGGGUACGCAGCGUACAGCAGCCACUCUUCAUCGAUGAGGAGGGAAGCAUGAUUGCGGGUUGAAGAUACGAAAAUGCCACCGGGCCAGCGCAUGGGAGCGCAGGGAUCUGACCAACCACGGGGGAACAACAGAGAGAACGAGUGGCGCUUCUGUCAACUUGUCCAAUAAUCGUCUUCGUCACCCGCCCUCCCCCGCCUCGAAGCCUGAUUGGGACACUCGGAAGUGGAGGAACCGGCGCCACCAUAAAGCCACCGGCUCUGCGCCCAUGGAUCCAGCUUGGAAGGGAAAUCUAGGCGGAGAGAGAAGAUGAGAGAGAGGCCACGUUAAGUUUCUACCGGGUUUCAGGGCCUCCUUCGCCUACGUACCGAGGGAAAUUAUCCCUCAUAGAGAGACCAGAGCUCCUCUCCAAUGGCCGCACGAGUUGCAGAGGAGCCAGAGCCCCGGAUGAGCGAGGUAAGGCAGCCUCUUCCCCUUCUUCAUCCCAGCUGUGAUGGCCUGCGCGCUUCCGCAUCAGCCAAUGCAACUCCUCUACGAUACAGAGAUCAUGGACGGAUAGACCAGGCCGGGGGUUCCCUCAGUGGCCUCUGAUUGAAUCUGAUAGAACGCCGCUUUAAAUGACUAACUUGGUCUUUAUGGAACCGAAAUCUCAUCUACCCUGUUGUGGAAAACCUCGGAAGAAACUCAAAAACAUUAGCGAUUAAUUGAUCAUGGUUUUUAAUCUUUCAGAGCUCAUCAGAAGCGGCCUUGGAACGUGACCGAAGCACAGCAAAUUCAGCUCAAGAACUGGCCCACUCGAUGCUUGAAGUGAAACCUUCAGAGCUGACACGCCUGACUGAAUCGGGACCGGCCGCCGCCGAACCAGCUGCUGGAGCUGAUCUUUGUGAUGUGCCGGCCUCUGAACCUCCGCCGGCACCAGAAGAGCAUGCUUCUGUAUCUACCCCCCCGCAGAAUGAAGAUGCUGAAGAAGAGAGAGACCGCGAAGCCUCUUCAGAAGAGCCCACUGAAGAGCGGAGCACAGAUGAUCAGGAAGCCCCACCUACGAUCCAUUCCGGGACUGGCGAGCGGCUCAUUCCCGAGGCUCCAAAGCCAGAACAAGAACACUCAGAUGAAGAUCCAAGACUAGGCCAUGACACCAAGGUUCCUGAAGCUAUAGAAGCCGCCGGUGAUGAUCGGGCUUCAGGGAAGGAAGCUCUCGACGGCGGCGAGGCCUCCCUGCAUCCCGAAAGCUUGCUUCUCAGGGAGAACCAAGACACCGCCAUCUCACUAACCGAUGAUACUCCAAAAGAAGAAGCUACAGCCGACGAUUCUUCUCAGCAGUCUGCAGAAGGCCACCGCCUACAGAACGAACCAGAGCAUGACGAUCCUGCUCCACCUAUCCACGAGACAGUGGAAGAAGACCAGCUUCACAAAGCGCUGGAUCCAACUCACCUGGACUCCCAGGUCGACGACCACCACAACCCAGUGGAGUCGGAGCACUACGUUGAAGAAAGCUCAAAGGCCAGGGAUGCCGGCUCUCCAGCAUCCCAGUCCAGCGAACAGGAGGAAGACGGACCAUCAACGACACAACCUCCAGAUGCCCAAGACACAAAGGAACCUCCAAAGUCAAACGACCCAGGUCCUGACCGUACGGAGGCCCUUGAAGAUGCCCAUGUGGAGGUCGCCCCACAGAGCCAGGAACGAGAAGGUGAGGACCUUGACAGUAACCUGGCANNNN
Molecule: long non-coding RNA, 2761 nt
Filed under: Spirodela polyrhiza (greater duckweed)
Lineage: Eukaryota; Viridiplantae; Streptophyta; Magnoliopsida; Alismatales; Araceae
Description: long non-coding RNA (SPOL_LNC000245)
Source: RNAcentral